RNAcentral lists this ribosomal RNA (427 nucleotides) under uncultured bacterium. RNAcentral describes it as "partial 16S ribosomal RNA". It matches the Rfam family "Bacterial small subunit ribosomal RNA", at positions 355 to 774 of the family's 1533-position model. The record is from RNAcentral.
UGGGGAAUAUUGCACAAUGGGCGCAAGCCUGAUGCAGCCAUGCCGCGUGUAUGAAGAAGGCCUUCGGGUUGUAAAGUACUUUCAGCGGGGAGGAAGGCGAUAAGGUUGAUAACCUUGUCGAUUGACGUUACCCGCAGAAGAAGCACCGGCUAACUCCGUGCCAGCAGCCGCGGUAAUACGGAGGGUGCAAGCGUUAAUCGGAAUUACUGGGCGUAAAGCGCACGCAGGCGGUAUGUCAAGUCGGAUGUGAAAUCCCCGGGCUCAACCUGGGAACUGCAUUCGAAACUGGCAGGCUAGAGUCUUGUAGAGGGGGGUAGAAUUCCAGGUGUAGCGGUGAAAUGCGUAGAGAUCUGGAGGAAUACCGGUGGCGAAGGCGGCCCCCUGGACAAAGACUGACGCUCAGGUGCGAAAGCGUGGGGAGCAAACA